This 313-nucleotide long non-coding RNA is filed under the name Marmota monax (woodchuck). The record is from RNAcentral. Lineage: Eukaryota; Metazoa; Chordata; Mammalia; Rodentia; Sciuridae.
GAAGCACUCAGUGCUGAAUGGUGAACAGGUUUAGUUCUUGCUUUCAAGGAACAUUCCUUGUUGUCCAGUAGGCUCCAGAAAAUAAGAAAAGAUUAUACUUAGGACCAAAUCUUCAGUGACCAGUGUUGGAGCAAGGAGCCAAAAAUAGACCACAGUUGUUGGGGGUAAAUGUGGCAUCAGGUCAGGGCUGAGAAUGAAUGCACCCAUGACAUGCAAGGCAGCCUAGAAAGACUUAGAGUACUUUUUAAAAUCAUGAAAUAACCCCAAAAGGAAAAGACACUCAAGAGACAGUGUGAGCUAAUGAGUAAGUUGU